AUAGCUGCACAAUGGCAAUAUAAUAGCCAAUGAGGUUUAUCUGAGGCACAAUUAUUGCUAAUUGAAAACUUUUCCCAAAUAGUAAUGUGGUCAGAAGUGACCUUACUCAGUCUAUGUUCCCCCUGUUUCUGACCCCUACCCCAGUAA
This is a small nuclear RNA of Manis javanica (Malayan pangolin), 147 nucleotides long. RefSeq annotates it as U4 spliceosomal RNA. The record is from RefSeq and is a predicted model, not a curated record. NCBI's taxonomy places the organism in Eukaryota, Metazoa, Chordata, Mammalia, Pholidota, Manidae.